AUGUGUGUCCUCGGACUCGCUGCCAUUGAGAGGACUCGGAGGAGACAGGCCUCGCGCCUCACCUGGCUGCGCGUGGGAGAAUCAAAGUUGGCGUUCUUCCAGGCAAAGAUCAACUCGCGGCGCCAGAAAAACUUCAUCCAUGCGCUGCACACCCAAGAGUCUGUUGCCACCUCCCACGGCGACAAAGAGCGGAUCAUCCAUGAGCACUUCCGCUCCACGUUGGGUUCCUCAUCGCCUCGCACUCGUACCAUCAAUUGGGGGUCCAUCCAGCUGCCGUCCCUGCCGGCAGUCGGCCUCGAUAACCCUUUCACCGAGGACGAGGUGUGGACUGCGAUCUGCAAGUCCCCGCAGGAGAAGUCCCUGGGCCCGGACGGCUUCAACGACACCUUCUUCCGCUCGUGUUGGUCCAUCAUCAAGGCCGACGUCAUGACCGCCUUCCACCAAUUCUACAACCUCUCCAACGGCGAUUUGUCGACGAUCAACAAGGCCACGAUCAUCCUCCUGCCUAAGAAGGAUGGGGCAACAGAGAUCUCCCACUUCAGACCAAUCAGUUUGAUCCACUCAGUAGCCAAGCUUAUCUCCAAAGUUCUCUCCAUUAGGCUAGCAUCGGUCAUCGGCUCCAUCAUCUCACCGGCGCAGACGGCUUUCCUGAAAUCCAAAUGCAUCCAGACAGUUUUCUCUUCGUGCAAAACUCCAUUCGAGCUCUCCACCGCUGCAAGACGCUAG
RNAcentral lists this ribosomal RNA (726 nucleotides) under Triticum aestivum (bread wheat). RNAcentral's name for it is "partial small subunit ribosomal RNA". The record is from RNAcentral. Lineage: Eukaryota; Viridiplantae; Streptophyta; Magnoliopsida; Poales; Poaceae.